UACGUAGGGUGCGAGCGUUGUCCGGAAUUAUUGGGCGUAAAGAGCUCGUAGGCGGUGUGUCGCGUCGGUCGUGAAAACUUGGGGCUUAACCCUGAGCUUGCGGUCGAUACGGGCAUCACUGGAGUUCGGCAGGGGAGACUGGAAUUCCUGGUGUAGCGGUGAAAUGCGCAGAUAUCAGGAGGAACACCGGUGGCGAAGGCGGGAUCCUGGGCCAGUACUGACGCUGAGGAGCGAAAGCGUGGGGAGCAAACAGG
This 254-nucleotide ribosomal RNA is filed under the name uncultured bacterium. RNAcentral describes it as "partial 16S ribosomal RNA". It matches the Rfam family "Bacterial small subunit ribosomal RNA", at positions 524 to 776 of the family's 1533-position model. The record is from RNAcentral.